GAUGAACGCUGGCGGCGUGCCUAAUACAUGCAAGUCGAGCGAACAGACGAGGAGCUUGCUCCUCUGACGUUAGCGGCGGACGGGUGAGUAACACGUGGAUAACCUACCUAUAAGACUGGGAUAACGUCGGGAAACCGGAGCUAAUACCGGAUAAUAUAUUGAACCGCAUGGUGCAAUAGUGAAAGACGGGUUUGCUGUCACUUAUAGAUGGAUCCGCGCCGCAUUAGCUAGUUGGUAAGGUAACGGCUUACCAAGGCAACGAUGCGUAGCCGACCUGAGAGGGUGAUCGGCCACCCUGGAACUGAGACACGGUCCAGACUCCUACGGGAGGCAGCAGUAGGGAAUCUUCCGCAAUGGGCGAAAGCCUGACGGAGCAGCGCCGCGUGAGUGAUGAAGGUCUUCGGAUCGUAAAACUCUGUUAUUAGGGAAGAACAAAUGUGUAAGUAACUAUGCACGUCUUGACGGUACCUAAUCAGAAAGCCACGGCUAACUACGUG
RNAcentral lists this ribosomal RNA (497 nucleotides) under uncultured bacterium. RNAcentral's name for it is "partial 16S ribosomal RNA". It matches the Rfam family "Bacterial small subunit ribosomal RNA", at positions 28 to 507 of the family's 1533-position model. The record is from RNAcentral.